GAUUAAAGGCAUAUGCCAGAUUAAAUUUUAGUAGUAAAAAAAAUUAUAAUUUAAGAAAAGCCCCCAGCCAGGCAUGGUAACAGCACACACCCUUAAUCCUAGCACUUCAGAGGCAGAGCGCUGAGUUCCAGGACAGCCCGGUUUGCAGAGUGAGUUCCAGGUCAGCCAGGGAUACACAGAGAAACUCUCUAUAGGAAAAACAAAGAAAAGAGAAAAAAAGAAAAGACCACCAAACUGUUCCCUCUCACCCAACUCUCUUCUUAUGAAUGAAAAUUAUACAAAAUAUGAGAUUUCUUGUCCCUCAUUCAAAUCUUUCCCUUCCUUUCACAAUCAUUUAAUCAAGACACCUUUAGACCAAACAAUCCCAGCUCCUGAUUUAAUAAAACAUCCUGUCCAAAGAAAGAAACCUGUCAAAAAAUAAAAAUAAGGGGUUGGGGAUUUAGCUCAGCGGUAGAGCGCUUACCUAGCAAGUGCAAGGCCCUGGGUUCGGUCCCCAGCUCCGAAAAAAAAAAAGAAAGAAAAAAGAAAAAGAAAAAUAAAUAAAAAAUAAAAAUAAAUAAGAAAGAAAGCUGUCAAAAAAUAAAAAUAAAUAAAACUAAAUAAAAAAAGAAAGAAAGAAAGAAACCUGUCCUUGAAGUCACUUGAAAGAGCAAAAAAGAUCUAAUAGAACAACAAAUUUGUGAGGAAGGGUAGAGCUAGGCUUCUUUAAUCCACAUUUAAUAUUUGAAAUAGAAAAUGCUGGGCUCGGGAUUUAGCUCAGUGGUAGAGCGCUUACCUAGGAAGCGCAAGGCCCUGGGUUCGGUCCCCAGCUCCAGGAAAAAAAAAAAAAAAAAGAAAGAAAGAAAGAAAAAAAAUGAAAUAGAAAAUGCUGCCCUUAAAUGCUGAGGACUAAGACAGUUUGAAGUGUAACUACCUCUGUCCCACAAGCUAAGGAUUCCAUCAAAACACCAUGGGCAGCAGUGCAGAGCCUGAGUCCUUGGUAUCUUGAGCCACCGUAGGGCAGGUGCACUGCCCACCACAAACCUAUAUUCCUGUUGCAAAAUGGAAAUAAAGUAACACUCCAUGAAGCAAGAGAGUCCAGGCCAGACAAACCAGGAACUACAUCACCCGCUGACAUGCUUGUCCAUAUCAUGUGAUAGACAUGUAUUUAUUUAUUGAGGUGGAGUCUCAUGUAACCGUAACUGGCUUCAAACCCACUAUGUAGCUGAGGAAGACCUUGAACUUCUGAUCCUCCUGCCUCCACCUCCCAGGUGCUAGGAUUAAGGCCUCCUAUCUCUGCAUGACUGGCCUUGAAUCUCUGCUCCUCCUGCCUCAGCCUCCGGACUGUUAGAAUAACUCGCAUAGGCUGCCACGAUUGGCUCUGUAGAAGUCAAGAAUAGAAUGUGAGCUUAAACCGGUCAUCCUCAGCUCUCUAGAAAGGACUUUGUUUCUAUUAGUGAGCCUUGAAGGGAUGUGUGCUAGGUAACAGGAUAGGCUAUUUCUAUUCUAGACCAUUGAACACUCGAUGGUCUAUGACGAGGUCUCAGAUAGCCCAGGCUGUCUUCAAGCUCUGUUAUGUAGCUCAGGAUGUCUCCCAGUUCCAGGAUUCUAUCCUGGUCUGGCUAUCAUUCCACAUCCUGUAGGGAAAGAGGGCGUAAAGUGAUGUUUCAAGCUCUCUGGUCCCUACACUAUUCAGAAACAUUUUGCUGGGCCAGAAAAAAAAAAAAAAGAAAAAAGAAAAAAGAAAAAGAAAACAAACAACAAAACCAACAAAACUUUGAAGCUUUCUAGAAAGCGUUUCUCAGAUGAAGAAACAAACAGAUCUUUUGAUUUGAACCGGGAAGCGAUUCUUCAGAGCAAGGAAGGAAAUCAAAGGCUUAAAUUCUACCACGAAAUUCAAAAGUGGUCCUUUCAGGAGGAACCCGACUUAGUUCCUCCACUCACCCAACUCGUUCUGGAGAGAGGAAAUUAGUUUACUGCCAUAUCGAAAUAAAGAAGCCAGGAGGCUGCGUUCCAGAAAAUCACGUGGCGCCUCCCUCCCCCACCUCCCUCACAGCUCUCCCAGCCGUCCCCUCCCUCCACACGGUUUGCUCGCUCGCCGCGCUGCGGCUGCGCGUUGCAGCGUGACAGCCUUGCACACUCUUGGGUGUGGGACCAAAAAAAGUGCAGAAAACCUGCUAAGAACCGAACAGCCAACAUCUUAGAGGAGGACGGUGCCAUCCUAGAAGCAGACGAGCCUUGGAAACCCAUGCCCAGCUUCCGCAGCUUUGAAACACUGACUGCGUCUUCUUCACUCAACACCUGACUCCUCGGUUCUGCAAUUAAGGGCGUUAAAUCCCGAAGAAGCCAGGCAACCCCUGUAAUCAUGACCCGUGUCUGCCCAAGGCUGCCUUUGGCCUGACAUCCUCCCCCGGUACUCUCAGGGGGAGAAAAGUUGCCUUUUGGGGGGGGGGAUGUUCACUGCUCUGAGAAUUAUAUGUUUUGGGGAGCACUCACUCCCCUUUAGUGUGACUUUA
Molecule: long non-coding RNA, 2495 nt
Organism: Rattus norvegicus (Norway rat)
Lineage: Eukaryota; Metazoa; Chordata; Mammalia; Rodentia; Muridae
Source: RefSeq, a predicted model, not a curated record